RNAcentral lists this transfer-messenger RNA (388 nucleotides) under Patescibacteria group. RNAcentral's name for it is "UBA9934 sp003453595 Standard tmRNA". It matches the Rfam family "transfer-messenger RNA". Rfam says of the family: Bacterial tmRNA, also known as 10Sa RNA or SsrA, is named for its dual tRNA and mRNA-like properties. Its role is to liberate the mRNA from a stalled ribosome. To accomplish this part of the tmRNA is used as a reading frame that ends in a translation stop signal. RNAcentral also lists the same sequence under 3 other names. The record is from RNAcentral.
GGGCCUGCCAGGAAUCGAUGGCAGUGCGAGAACUUUUCAAUCAAGCCAGAGCUACACAUUGCUCUGUAAAAACCAUGUGUACGAGACAAAUGCAAACAUCAUCUCAAAGGUACGAAACGCAUUUUCAAUGCCAGUACCUGUAAUGGUUGCUGCGUAAAUAUUCGCCAACCCAUCCGUUCUAAUGUGCCCUACAUUAGAAGCCGGGUGUCAUAUCACUGGGCUAUAUCAUGCUUCCUGACCUAGCAUGAAAGAACUUUGCGGUCAGAACGUGUUAUGAUCUUUUCGUUCCGUUCUAGAUCAUAAAGCGUUAUUACAACGGAACAAAGCUUGUAGCAAUUGGAUUGCUAUCCCUGACCAGACGGGGGUUCAACUCCCCCCAGGUCCACCA